UCUGCCUCCGCCGCCGCUCCGGGGCCGGGAACGGGCUUCGGGCUCCUCGCCUGCUCCGAAGCUGCUUUAGGGAUGAGGGUGGGUUGAUUUGUUUUGGGUAGUUCGGGGUUUUUUGAGGGGGGUGUGUAUAAAUCUGGGCUGGAGUUCCGCGGCUCCGUGCCCGGAGUUUGAUGCUCAGCUCUUGCGGUGCCACGGGCACACGCGGCCAGUGGGGGGGAAGGAGAAUAGAAAGCCAGAGGGGUAGAGACCCCCUUUUCUCCCUCCCCUCUCCCCCAAAAGCCACCUCUUUGAGCACCGUGCACCGGCAGAGCUGUCACUCGAGGCUGAGCUGACAGCUGGGGCCUCUCAAGGGAUUUGCUGCUGUAGAAAAUCCCUGUUAUCUCUGUACCAGAGGAGAUCACAUCUCCCAGACCUCCAGAUUUCCCACCAAACUGAGAAAUCCCCUCCCCAGGGAGGAGCUGCAGCCCCCACUGAGCCCCUAUCAUGGACCAUCCCUCGCAAGACCAAUUUUGGGAAUCCCAAUGGCUCUGCAAUUCCUGUCUCUGCACAGCUGUGGAGGUGGGAGCUCCCACGUCCUCUCCCUGCCCAGAUGGAAUCAUCUCCACCUUUUUCCCAUUUUGAGGCUUUGCCCCAUCAAGCCCAGCAGGAAAAGGGAACCAACAGCACAAAAACCAUCCUGGCUACCAGGUCAGUGGCCACCCAACCCCGCAGCUCCUCUGGAGGGACCAGGAGACACUGAGCUGCUCCAGCCCAGCCCAGAGCAGGUUUCUCACUGCGCUAAUUACUGCUAAUUGAGCCACUUGGCUAUCGGGGGGCCUUGCCCUGGCCGGGCUGAUAGAGUAUCAGGGAGAUAAAGAGCACUCAGCACAGGUAACACAGGGAAGUGUUGUCAGACCUGUGCUGGGACCUUCUGGCGGGGUUAUCUCUCCUUCCCCGAGCACAGGGCACCACAUUCCUAAGGGAAGCACUGUGACCCUGAGGAUCUGUGGAGAGCCUGAGCUUUUAGGAGGUGUCCUGUGGGAUUUUGGUGACUCAGGAGCUCAGCAAAGCAAGCUGGCAUUAAUUUCAGAGUAACUCUUUUAAAUUUCCUUAACAUGCAUUUUAUUCCUUUGGCUGGCUUUUGCUGUUGUUAAUUUAACACUGAGGAAACGAAACUUUAAACAUUUUUUUCCCCCUUUCUUCUUCCCUACAGAGAAAUAAAUUUUUUUUCUUUUAAAAAAUGCUGUCUCUCUCAGAACUUUUGUUAUUUUUCACCACCUCCACUGACCUACACAGAGUAGUUCAGCUCCUACACCAUCCUGAGCAUCAGGUAGGAGUUACUAACACCUACUUACCCAAGUGGAAACUUGGACAGGGUGACAUUGUUAUGCAGUUUGUUGUUUUGGUUUUUUUUUUAAAUUACUCUCAAUUGUAAAUAGGAAAUCAAAAUUACAGGAUAUUUUUGCAGCCAAGUCCGAGAAAAAUCUUUUGUGUGGGUGCAGUUCCUGGCUGUGGGUACAGCCACACAUCACACCUGGGAGGUGAAGCUCACAGGGCCACAGUCCCUGCCCACAGCAGCGCCUGUGUUUUGUCUCAGGGAUGUAAAAACUAACAAAACAUCACCACCUCUCUCCUGGAGGAGCCAACAGAGCGUGUCCAUGGCUAUCAAAUCAACGACAGGGCAACCACACACCUGAGAAGCUGCUGGGUCCUCUAACCCAAAGUUUAGGGUGUUUUCUACAUCAAGUAUCCCCAUUUUCUUCCUUGACGUACCUCAAUCAUCUGCUUCCCCUCUUACCCCUGUGCACUUUCAGUUUGGUUUGAGUUCCCAAAGUUUCUCAGCUUGUUACACAAAGCUCAUAACAAAGUCUGUGGCCAGCUCUUUCUUUGAUAAUUCCUUCCCCCCAUUUGUUUAUCUGAAGUCCUGAGCUUUGUUCCAGGCCCAAAACCAAAAGCCUUUCUACCCUGUUCUCCUCUUGACUUGUUGCAGAUGUAACGAAAUAAAUCUUCAGAAAGAACAAACCUUCACUUCCUCUCUCCCGUCUGAUUCGGUCACAAACCCCAGGAAAGAAAAAUAAAUCACAACCUGAGCUUGCCUGGUCUCGAAGGAUUCCUGGGCUGGUCCUGAGAGCCACCAUCCAAACUGGAUGUGUCCAUUCCUCUGGGCAAUCAGUGAACACAGACACCAAAAAGGACCUGAUGACCAUGAAAUCCUUGUUUUGAGCAUGGCCAAGGUGAAAAAACUUGUGAUGAGCCCAAAUUAAGGUUGGUGUGGUGGUUGAUGAGCACGACCAAGCUGGGGAUGCCUUCCUAGAGCUCGUCCUUGGCACUGGAAGGCGAUGUGUCCCUGGCUUGUCUCUCAGCCCCUCGUGUGGCUCUGCCUCUCUUUUCUCACCUGCCACCCCAACGAAUUUUAAAUCGCAGCCAGAAAAAUCAUGUUGGGUUUUUCUGAGCUGGCCAUAGCAGAGGUGGAAGUUUCCUCCAGAGUUUGUCCUUCUUCUGAGAGCUGUUUCCAUGUGAAACCUCUGUCGCUCUUCCAUCAACCAUCAGAUUCUCCCAGACACAACCCAGUCAUGCAGGACUGAACAAAUCACCAUUUUCAGCCCAUGAGCUGGAGAUCCCACGGAUUUCCAGAGCCCUCUUCACUCGGCAGCGCCCUGGGCUAGGAAUGGACAAUUGGGCACUGUCCCCUCCACGGGGACUGCAGACAAGUGGAGAAAAACUCCUUAGAAGUGGGGCUGCCUGUGUCUGCCUAACGAGGUCUUCACUUGGGUCUAAGUUAAAGCCAGGCUCAGCUUUAAGCUGGGAAAUACUGGAACUGUGUAAAAGGGAUGAUUUGAUUUACCAGAUACGAUCUGCCCAGUGGGUUUUGCUCUUCCAAGGGUGCUUGGGGGAAGAUGUGCAGAACCACAACAGCUGUCAGAAGAUUUUUGGGUUGUGUCCCUAGCCCCGACUUUCACUGAUGAACCGAGGGUUUUCUCUUUGUGUGUGUUUUGUUUUAAAUUUAAACAAGAGGUCUUUGCACACUCGACACAAUCCGUCCACUUAGCACUGAAGAAAGUGUAAUUAGACACUUGGAGAACUGGAAGAAAUUAACUCUGACCACAGCCUGUCACUCAGACUAUUACUUAAUAAUAUUUCCCAAAUGUGCAAAGUACUUAGUUCUAGAAUAACAGGAAAGAAGUGUAACUUCUCACCCAGCGCAAAGGCUUUGCCUCGGGAAGCGGGCGUGAAAAACUCGCCGGCCAGGAGAAGUUUUGCCACCUCCCAUCACCUGAGGGCUACCAGGGGAUGUGAAGGAUGUGAUUCAUGGUCCCCAAUCCCACGGCGCUGAAGGGCUGGAACGGAGUCAAGGGGAGUGACCGGCCCGAGGUGCUCGGAGCUGCGUGCAAGAUCUCCUUCAGCUUCCAACACGCCACGGAAACCGCGGAGAAAUUGCUGUUUUCCUUCUUCUCCAGCACCAGGCCGAGCCCUUGCCUCACCCCACGCUACAGAAGCCUGGCUAGAAAGAGAUUAUUGUGAUUUCUGCCCGUUUCUUUGCUGGCGACAAAAGGCCCCAUUCAUCCGGGCUAAUUUUGAGGGGAGAGCGAGGGGUAUCAGUAGCAUGAACUGGAUCUGAGCGUCUCGACCACAUUUGAGCAAGACCUGCUUGUUGGCCAGUCCAGCCCAGGGAAACAGAUAUCUUUCAUCUGGAGCUUUGGAGGGGAGCGUUUCUCUGAUUCUAAACAGAAGUAUCUUUGCUGGCCAGGGCAAGUUUUAAAAAGUCCUGACGAAGCAGGGCUGGGCCAUUUUCCCAGCAAAAAACAAGAGGCCAUUCAAAAAAAUGGGGGGAAAACGUUGUUCUCGUGUGUUUCUGCCUCAGGAACCAACACACCCAGCUUCACCUGACUAAAUUACCCCUCAGAUAUUCAAUAAGGCCGUGUCCAGGACAAUGAACCUCUUGCCUUGUUGCAAAACACUGAAAAAAAUGGAUUUUUUUAAUAAAAACAUCCAUGAUGCCUUAAAUGCUUAAGUUAUUAUGAAGCACAACUCUCAGGACUUCCCUGUGUCUGUGGGAAGAGCUACAAUGUAAUUGGUUAAAGCAGAACAUCAGUCUAUAAUUAAAAUAUAUGAGAUUGCCAAUUUCAAAAUAUUUAAGUGAUUUCAUCUGAAUUUAGGUGAAUGUAUCUCUCUGAGCAGCUCAUUUAAGAUGAUAUUUCUAUUUUCAGUGCAUGAAUUGGGCCCUGGGUAAAAGAAAAGGAUAAUUUUGAUGUCUUCUUUGUCUGGGGAAUGUUGGAGACACAGAGCUCAGACUUUAACAGAAUAUUCCAGUCCUGGGGAAAUCCGUGGUGAAUCCUGAAGUGACAUUCCAGAGGUGGAGUGGGAGGUGCCACAAAAUAAAAUUAAAUAAAAAAUAUCAUUACCAGGAAAAUCUGUCACCUCCUCAAUCACAGUGACAAUUUCAGCAGGGUUUUUAUACUCUGAGUAGGAAAAAUAAAUGGCUUUUGAGGCCACCACAGAUGGGUUCUGCAGGGACAAGUGACCAACGUGGCUUUGGAGUGUCCUGAAGCUCUGAAAACUCAGCCCAGAGCCCCAGAGCUGGAGACCAGCUGGGGUCUCUGUGAUCCAUCCCUGCCCCUCUCCCAGUCUGCAGCCACAGCCUCAGGGAUGAGAAAGGAGCUCAGCUGCAUCUUCACCAGGAAAAAAAACAGGGGAAUAUCCUGGCUCCAGUGCAAGGAGAAUAACUCUGAGCACGUUCUUCCGUCAGCACACAAAGUGUCUCAGGCCACCACGGCUGGGAGGUGCCUUUUCCUUGUCCCUUCCUGUCAUUUCUGCUGUUCCUCACAGGUAAAUUCUCUCUUUAGGAAGAGAUCCCUGCCCCAGGAGUUGGAUGGCUCCUCGAAUUGGCACAGCCAGAGGGCAGGGAUGGUUUUGGUGGGGUUAAUCUGCCCAGAAAUCCUGGAAUUCCCAGAGUCCCUGCAGGAGGGAGCGAGGCCCAGCCUUGUCUACAAAGCCGAGUGAGGGAUCUUCACUCAGAGGAUGAAAAUAAAUAAUACAAGAAGGCAAAGAUGAUAAUGUUGCUGUUGUAGCUGUAAUGAGACACAAAUGCUAUUUUGAUGGUUUUCUCUGAAAGAAAUACACAAAGCCCAAGCGAUUUAAUUAAAGAUCUCCCAGGCUUUGCAAUCAGCAUGGCCGCAGAUGAAGGGAAAUCAACUUUUAUGUGGCAGAACAUGAGCGGUUUUCCCAUUAAAAUAAAAAGAGAGAUGAGAAAAAAAUC
Long non-coding RNA from Parus major (Great Tit), 5236 nucleotides. RefSeq lists it as uncharacterized. The record is from RefSeq and is a predicted model, not a curated record. Lineage: Eukaryota; Metazoa; Chordata; Aves; Passeriformes; Paridae. The transcript is spliced from 2 exons.